This 405-nucleotide ribosomal RNA is filed under the name uncultured bacterium. RNAcentral's name for it is "bacterial SSU rRNA". It matches the Rfam family "Bacterial small subunit ribosomal RNA", at positions 976 to 1381 of the family's 1533-position model. The record is from RNAcentral.
UAGCCUUGACAUACUACAGAAUUUGACAGAGAUGUUGGAGUGCCUUCGGGAGCUGUAAUACAGGUGCUGCACGGCUGUCGUCAGCUCGUGUCGUGAGAUGUUGGGUUAAGUCCCGCAACGAGCGCAACCCUCGUCCUUAGUUACUAACGGUUCGGCCGAGGACUCUAAGGAGACUGCCUUCGUAAGGAGGAGGAAGGUGAGGACGACGUCAAGUCAUCAUGGCCCUUACGGCUAGGGCAACACACGUGCUACAAUGGUUAGGACAAUGAGAAGCGAUACCGCGAGGUGGAGCAAAUCUAUAAACCUAAUCUCAGUUCGGAUAGCAGUCUGCAACUCGACUGCUUGAAGCUGGAAUCACUAGUAAUCGUAAAUCAGCUAUGUUACGGUGAAUACGUUACGGGGUCU